CAGUAGCCGCGGUAAUACGAAGGGGGCUAGCGUUGCUCGGAAUGACUGGGCGUAAAGGGCGCGUAGGCGGUUUGUUAAGUCUGUUGUGAAAUCCCCGGGCUCAACCUGGGAAUGGCAAUGGAUACUGGCAAGCUAGAGUGUGUCAGAGGAUGGUGGAAUUCCCGGUGUAGCGGUGAAAUGCGUAGAGAUCGGGAGGAACAUCAGUGACGAAGGCGGCCAUCUGGGACAACACUGACGCUGAGGCACGAAAGCGUGGGGAGCAAACAGGAUUAGAGACCCCCGUAGUCCCUGUCUCUUAACA
Molecule: ribosomal RNA, 301 nt
Filed under: uncultured bacterium
Lineage: Bacteria
Description: partial 16S ribosomal RNA
Rfam family: Bacterial small subunit ribosomal RNA
Source: RNAcentral